UACAGAGGUCCCAAGCGUUGUUCGGAUUCACUGGGCGUAAAGGGUGCGUAGGUGGUGAGGUAAGUCGGAUGUGAAAUCUCCGAGCUCAACUCGGAAAUGGCAUUGGAAACUACCUUGCUCGAGGGUUGGAGGGGGGACUGGAAUGCUUGGUGUAGCAGUGAAAUGCGUAGAGAUCGGGAGGAACAUCUGUGGCGAAGGCGACUACCUGGACCAGCACUGACACUGAGGCACGAAAGCGUGGGGAGCAAACAGG
This 253-nucleotide ribosomal RNA is filed under the name uncultured bacterium. RNAcentral describes it as "partial 16S ribosomal RNA". It matches the Rfam family "Bacterial small subunit ribosomal RNA", at positions 524 to 776 of the family's 1533-position model. The record is from RNAcentral.